AGAGUUUGAUCCUGGCUAAGGAUGAACGCUGGCGGCGUGCUUAACACAUGCAAGUCGAACGAACUGCUUUAAAGGAAGUCUUCGGAUGGAAUUUAAAGUAGUUAGUGGCGGACGGGUGAGUAACGCGUGGGAAACCUGCCCUAUACAGGGGGAUAGCCUCGGGAAACCGGGAUUAAUACCCCAUAAAACUCUAGUAUCGCAUGAUACAUGAGUCAAAGAUUUAUCGGUAUAGGAUGGUCCCGCGUCUGAUUAGCUAGUUGGUGAGGUAACGGCUCACCAAGGCGACGAUCAGUAGCCGGCCUGAGAGGGUGAACGGCCACACUGGAACUGAGACACGGUCCAGACUCCUACGGGAGGCAGCAGUGGGGAAUAUUGCACAAUGGGGGAAACCCUGAUGCAGCGACGCCGCGUGAGCGAAGAAGGCCUUCGGGUCGUAAAGCUCUGUCCUAAGGGAAGAAGAGGACGGUACCUUAGGAGGAAGCCCCGGCUAACCACGUGCCAGCAGCCGCGGUAAUACGUAGGGGGCGAGCGUUAUCCGGAAUUACUGGGCGUAAAGGGUGCGUAGGCGGCCUUUUAAGUCAGAUGUGAAAGGCUACGGCUUAACCGUAGUUAGCAUUUGAAACUAAGAGGCUUGAGUGCAGGAGAGGAGAGUGGAAUUCCUAGUGUAGCGGUGAAAUGCGUAGAUAUUAGGAGGAACACCAGUGGCGAAGGCGACUCUCUGGACUGCAACUGACGCUGAGGCACGAAAGCGUGGGUAGCGAACAGGAUUAGAUACCCUGGUAGUCCACGCCGUAAACGAUGAGUGCUAGGUGUUGGUGGGGACACCCAUCAGUGCCGCAGCUAACGCAUUAAGCACUCCGCCUGGGGAGUACGGUCGCAAGACUGAAACUCAAAGGAAUUGACGGGGACCCGCACAAGCAGCGGAGCAUGUGGUUUAAUUCGACGCAACGCGAAGAACCUUACCAGGGCUUGACAUCCCUCUGACCGGUGUAGAGAUACACCUUCCCUUCGGGGCAGGGGUGACAGGUGGUGCAUGGUUGUCGUCAGCUCGUGUCGUGAGAUGUUGGGUUAAGUCCCGCAACGAGCGCAACCCUUG
Molecule: ribosomal RNA, 1096 nt
Filed under: Proteiniborus sp. enrichment culture clone WSC-29
Lineage: Bacteria; Bacillati; Bacillota; Clostridia; Eubacteriales
Description: bacterial SSU rRNA
Rfam family: Bacterial small subunit ribosomal RNA
Source: RNAcentral